AGUGUGUCCAUCUGGAUAUUUUGGAGACAGCUGUUCAUCGCCAUGCAACUAUCCUGCCUUUGGAUUCCUUUGCUUAAGUAAUUGCUCAUGUUCAUCUACCAACUGCAACCAUGUAAAUGGAUGUGUUUAUACUACAGAGUAUCCUCUAGGACGACGAACCAAGACAAAAUCACCAAAUGACUGCGUAACUGGGGAGACAAGUGAACAUGAAAAAUGCUGCACAAACUACUACAGAACAAAGAAUGUAUGCCUAGAAUGCCCUCUCGGACAUUUUGGUGAUAAUUGCUCAUCCACCUGCAUCUAUCCAUCGUUUGGAUCCACGUGUCGAGAAGAGUGCAAUUGUUCUAUUGAUAAGUGCGAUUACAGAUACGGCUGUGGGACAACGG
Ostrea edulis (European flat oyster) is the source of this 386-nucleotide long non-coding RNA. RefSeq lists it as uncharacterized. The transcript has 4 exons. The record is from RefSeq and is a predicted model, not a curated record. NCBI's taxonomy places the organism in Eukaryota, Metazoa, Mollusca, Bivalvia, Ostreida, Ostreidae.